This 440-nucleotide ribosomal RNA is filed under the name uncultured bacterium. Its description in RNAcentral is "partial 16S ribosomal RNA". It matches the Rfam family "Bacterial small subunit ribosomal RNA", at positions 338 to 795 of the family's 1533-position model. The record is from RNAcentral.
CCUACGGGUGGCAGCAGUAGGGAAUCUUGCUCAAUGGGGGAAACCCUGAAGCAGCAACGCCGCGUGGAGGAUGAAGGUUUUCGGAUUGUAAACUCCUUUUGUUAGAGAAGAUAAUGACGGUAUCUAACGAAUAAGCACCGACUAACUCCGUGCCAGCAGCCGCGGUAAUACGGAGGGUGCAAGCGUUACUCGGAAUCACUGGGCGUAAAGAGCGCGUAGGCGGGAUAGCAAGUCAGAUGUGAAAUCCUAUGGCUUAACCAUAGCACUGCAUUUGAAACUGUUAUUCUAGAGUAUGGGAGAGGUAGGUGGAAUUCUUGGUGUAGGGGUAAAAUGCGUAGAGAUCAAGAGGAAUACUCAUUGCGAAGGCGACCUGCUAGAACAUAACUGACGCUGAUGCGCGAAAGCGUGGGGAGCAAACAGGAUUAGAUACCCCUGUAGUC